Molecule: ribosomal RNA, 428 nt
Filed under: uncultured bacterium
Lineage: Bacteria
Description: partial 16S ribosomal RNA
Rfam family: Bacterial small subunit ribosomal RNA
Source: RNAcentral
GUGGGGAAUAUUGGGCAAUGGGCGAAAGCCUGACCCAGCAACGCCGCGUGAGGGAAGAAGGCCUUCGGGUUGUAAACCUCUGUCCUUGGUGACGAAGAAAGUGACGGUAGCCAAGGAGGAAGCCCCGGCUAACUACGUGCCAGCAGCCGCGGUAAUACGUAGGGGGCGAGCGUUGUCCGGAAUUACUGGGCGUAAAGGGUGCGUAGGUGGCCUUUUAAGUUGGAUGUGAAAUACCCGGGCUUAACUUGGGGGGUGCAUCCAAAACUGGGAGGCUAGAGUGCAGGAGAGGAAAGCGGAAUUCCUAGUGUAGCGGUGAAAUGCGUAGAUAUUAGGAGGAACACCAGUGGCGAAGGCGGCUUUCUGGACUGUAACUGACACUGAGGCACGAAAGCGUGGGGAGCAAACAGGAUUAGAUACCCUGGUAGUCC